Molecule: ribosomal RNA, 253 nt
Filed under: uncultured bacterium
Lineage: Bacteria
Description: partial 16S ribosomal RNA
Rfam family: Bacterial small subunit ribosomal RNA
Source: RNAcentral
UCCGGAGGGUGCAAUCGUUAUCCGGAAUUACUGGGUUUAAAGGGUGCGUAGGCGGCUUUAUAAGUCAGGGGUGAAAGCUUGCCGCUUAACGGUAAAAUUGCCUUUGAUACUGUAGAGCUUGAAAGAGGAUGAGGUCAGCAGAAUGUGGCAUGUAGCGGUGAAAUGCAUAGAUAUGCCAUAGAACACCGAUUGCGAAGGCAGCUGGCUGGGCCUACUUUGACGCUGAGGCACGAAAGCGUGGGGAGCGAACAGG